CUAGCAUAUCAAUAAACGGAGGAAAAGAAACCAACAGGGAUUGCCCUAGUAACGGCGAGUGAAGCGGCAACAGCUCAAAUUUGAAAUCUGGCUCUCUUUGGGGGUCCGAGUUGUAAUUUGCAGAGGAUGCUUUGGCAUUGGCGGCGGUCUAAGUUCCUUGGAACAGGACAUCGCAGAGGGUGAGAAUCCCGUACGUGGGCGCCUGCCUUUGCCGUGUAAAGCUCCUUCGACGAGUCGAGUUGUUUGGGAAUGCAGCUCUAAAUGGGAGGUAAAUUUCUUCUAAAGCUAAAUACCGGCCAGAGACCGAUAGCGCACAAGUAGAGUGAUCGAAAGAUGAAAAGUACUUUGGAAAGAGAGUCAAAAAGCACGUGAAAUUGUUGAAAGGGAAGCGCUUGCAGCCAGACUUGCCCGCAGUUGCUCACCUAGGCUUUGGCCUGGGGCACUCUUCUGCGGGCAGGCCAGCAUCAGUUUGGGCGGUUGGAUAAAGGCCUCUGUCACGUAUCUCCCUUCGGGGUGACCUUAUAGGGGAGGCGCAAUGCAACCAGCCCGGACUGAGGUCCGCGCAUCUGCUAGGAUGCUGGCGUAAUGGCUGUAAGCGGCCCGUCUUGAAACACGGACCAAGGAGUCUAACAUCUAUGCGAGUGUUUGGGUGUCAAGCCCGGGCGCGCAAUGAAAGUGAACGGAGGUGGGAACCCUUUGGGUGCACCAUCGACCGAUCCUGAUGUCUUCGGAUGGAUUUGAGUAAGAGCAUAGCUGUUGGGACCCGAAAGAUGGUGAACUAUGCUUGAAUAGGGUGAAGCCAGAGGAAACUCUGGUGGAGGCUCGCAGCGGUUCUGACGUGCAAAUCGAUCGUCAAAUUUGGGCAUAGGGGCGAAAGACUAAUCGAACCAUCUAGUAGCUGGUUCCUGCGACU
This 913-nucleotide ribosomal RNA is filed under the name Austropleospora keteleeriae. RNAcentral's name for it is "partial large subunit ribosomal RNA". It matches the Rfam family "Eukaryotic large subunit ribosomal RNA", at positions 34 to 965 of the family's 3401-position model. Lineage: Eukaryota; Fungi; Ascomycota; Dothideomycetes; Pleosporales; Didymosphaeriaceae. The record is from RNAcentral.